GGAGUGGUGGCCGAGCGGCAAAGGCACCUCACUGUCUCUGAGGAUCAGGUGGGUUCGACUCCCAUCCACUUCGCCA
RNAcentral lists this transfer RNA (76 nucleotides) under Acidobacteriota bacterium. RNAcentral's name for it is "Acidobacteria bacterium tRNA-Asp". It matches the Rfam family "tRNA". From Rfam's summary of the family: Transfer RNA (tRNA) molecules are approximately 80 nucleotides in length. RNAcentral also lists the same sequence under 1 other name. Lineage: Bacteria; Pseudomonadati; Acidobacteriota. The record is from RNAcentral.